This 242-nucleotide ribosomal RNA is filed under the name uncultured bacterium. RNAcentral's name for it is "partial 16S ribosomal RNA". It matches the Rfam family "Bacterial small subunit ribosomal RNA", at positions 295 to 523 of the family's 1533-position model. The record is from RNAcentral.
AGAGGAUGAUCAGCCACACUGGGACUGAGACACGGCCCCAGACUCCUACGGGAGGCAGGCCAGUAGGGAAUAUUGCACAAUGGGGGAAACCCUGAUGCAGCGAAUACCGCGUGUGUGAAGAAGGCUUUCGGGUUGUAAAGCACUUUCAAUAGAGAAGGAAAAGCUUAGAGUUUAAUACCUCUAGGUCUUGACGUUAUCUAUACAAGAAGCACCGGCUAAUUCCGUGCCAGCAGCCGCGGUAA